UCCUCCCACUAACGUUAAAAAGUACUUGUGUGUAUGAAUACCUUCAAUAUUCUUUGAAAAUACCUUCUGUAUAGUUGUAUUUCUGUAGAAAGUGUUUUUUUCUGAGCCAGAAAUAUCCUAUUUAUCUCAUAUUUUGUUACUUUUAUUGCAAAAUAAAUACUUUUAAAUCCAAAAACAUUGUUCCACUGACUUGACAAUACCUCUUGUCCAAAUGAGGGCUACACAGCUCAAUACUUGAAGGUUCCUGUUCUCCUCAUCCACCAUACCACAUUAUACAUCCGCCCCCUUCAGUGUAAUGUCAGCACAGAACAGGUAAUGCUUGAUUUCUCAAUGAAUGCAAUUGUUAAAGAAAUCCUGUGGACCAGUGGUGUUGCUGUUUAAGUCUUCAGAUUUAUAGAUGGAGUUACAUAAAUGCAUUAAUUUGUGUUAUUUGUUUGCACUUGUAGGAAAUAAUUGGUAGACCUUCAGACACUGGACCCUUAACACCAUGUGUUCUGUGUGGAGAGGAAUUUCCAUUUUCCCACUUAAGGGAACACAAUAGUCCUAAUGGGGAUGUUUGUACAUCAGCUAAAAAGCUUUGUUUUCUCACUGUUAAUGAUGAUCUAUUCAGGCCAGAUGUUGUUUUUUGCAAGUGAUUGUAUGACCAACUUUAUCAGUGAAAAGCUAGAUUAUUUGUUUUAUAAAAGUGGUUCUAUUUUUAUUAUGUGUGGGGAGAUAUUGCAAUAUUCUAUUGACUGAACACCCUACUCCACAAGCAACACAACAAUGAAGAGAGCGGUAUUUCCUAUCAUAAAAUGAUAGCAUGGCUUACAUGCCCAUGCACUCAUUCAGGUGCGUGACCAGAGUGUGAAGGAAAAGGCUGGGAUUCUUUUUUCAUGUAUACUUGUAGCUACUUAAAAUUAAGCUUUAUUUUGCUUAUGGCUCCAAGAUGGCCUACUCUGCUGUUAAGAGAAAUUAGAAAGGUGGAAUUAAACCAAUUUACUAUACAUAUUUAAUAUUUAAUACAUUAGUUCAAAUUCAUUACACACUAACGGAGAUGUGGUAUUUUAUCCAGAUACUAGUGCUGGUAACAGAAUUGUGACCAAAUUCCAGAACAGAUAUGGUAAUUGCAUAUAUGGCUUUUUAGGUAACGAAAGGCAUGGCAGUUGUGCAUGGCUAUAUUGCCAUGUGUGUUAUGACCAUUACGGACUAACUGAUGAUAUAAUGAUUCCCCUUAAGUGAGUUACAGGGUGACAGGACCCAAAACAGGGAGAGGGAAAGUGGGACAGGGACAGCCAGUGCCUCUGCCUCAGCAUCAGCCUCACAUGACCCAGGACUAGAUGUGGAUGAGGGUAGAGUUUCUGUACUUUUAAAGAGUAGUGACGUUUUAUGUUCUUUAUUUGUUUUGGAAGUUGAAAUAUUUCAUGUGAAAAUGCAAAAACUAUUUGGUUCUUGAAAUAUUCUGAAUGCUACCACUGUAGUUGGUCUGUCACAUAGUUUUUUUUCACAUGCUAAUUUAUGUCAUUCCAUCUCAGCAGGAGCAGCAAGUGCCACUGGAAACUCACCCACAGAGGCCACCAUUGAUGGUAAGUACAUUGCUAUAAGGCAUGGUAGAGCUAAUCAUUAAAAUCAUUGGUCCUGCAUGUUUUAGUUACCCCCCCCCUGCAUGUUAUGAAAUUGCUUAAGUAUGAGAUUUGAGACCACCCUUGAACACACGUCAUGUCACUUAGUAAUUCGUUGUCAUUCUAUAUCAGUAGCAACAGGAAUUGCACCUGGUCCUGGAAUCCCACCUACAGAGGUCCCUACUGAUUGUAAGUGUGUUGCUAUAAAGCAUAGUAUUGCAAAUUAUAAGAACUUGUACCAUAUGUUCAGGUUUCUCCAUGCUGCAUCUUCAUAACAUCACAGAGCUGCUUUUAAAAGGAUAAUCAAAGAUUCAUGUAUGUACUGUGUGUUUUAAAUUGAGCGAGUCAAUGUACAUGCAUAAUCUUAAAGGUUCAGUUACUGUUUCCUAAUGUAAUUUACCCUUUUUUUAAGCUUGGGUUACACAACCGGACCCAGAGAAAGCAGCCCAGCUUUUCACACAGGCAGCUCUUGAAAACAAACAACAUAUGGAGCCCCUCACAUUCACCCUGAGUCUCAUGGACUCUGAAGAAGAGAGACACAGAGCGAUCAUCUCAUUACACAAGAGGCCCAGGGUGGAGUGGGCAAGGCCCCUAACUUGCAGAUUGAUUGGUGAAAGUUUUUUACUAUUCCUGCAAAUACAUUCAUAUGUGAAUUUAUUAUGUUAGAUUUGUGUAGCUGUGACUUAGAUGGUGUAGUUUUUCCAAAAACCUGUGGUGUAACUUAUAAUAAAAGCACAUUUUUGACUUAGGUGACUCUGCUAUUGGUGAAGGCGUAAAACGGCAUGUGCUGUCCACUGUGAUGGGAACUGUCCAGAGUGGUUUCCCUCUGGAUGAAAAAAAGGGAGAGUGCUUCUCUUCGAGGGAGAGAGUGACCACCUUAUUCCCUCAACAAGUCAAGAGCUCCUGGAGGGUGAUUUACUUGUGACUGCAGGAAAGAUGGUUGGUCAUUCAUUCUUGAAUGGAGGCCCAUGUCUCACUGGUCUAAGCACAGCAAUCAUCCAUGUACUUUUUGGCGGCAGUCCAGAGAUGGCAACCAUAUCCCUGCCAGACUGUGUGGAUCAGGAUGUCCGGGAUGUCUUGGCACUGGUCUGGAGUAACAUGUUUUAUUUAUAUAAUGUAGUGUUUCCAAACUGCACUAUUAUCAAAUUGUUGUAAAAGUGUAUUGCCAAGAACCUACUUUUUUGAUUGCCUAUAUUACAAAUAUUGUAUUUGGCUCUUCUGUGCUGAUGUCACUGAUCAGUUGAAAGAACCAGGGACCUGUCAGAAGAAGACAAAUCCCAGAUUCUCUCUGUGACACUGCCCUGGGACCUGCCUGGUGUCACACUGAACAACAGGUGGUGGCUGAGGGAGAAAAUACUGCUCCAUGCUGUAAGCUAUCUAUGAUUAUGGUCUUUGUAAUUUGGCCUGUUCUUAAAGAGACAAUAGCAUGCUUUUUUCAGUUAAAGCCCAAAGUACAAACCAGAGGGAGUAGCACUGAGCUAGUCAGUAGGGGAGUCAAAAGGAGCCCUAACAUUGUUUCAGACUAUGGAUGAAUAGUAAUGAAUGAGUUUUGGAAUAUUAAGCAUGUAAAUGUAUCCUAGUAGACCCCACUGAUUUUGUUUAAUUUUACAGGUUCUUGGACGGACGACCCAGCAGGUUAAACAAAUCCGACGAGGCCUGAAAGACACGGGUAUCUGGGAGUUUUUUAGCUCCAGGCCAGAUGCUGUGCAAGUCCUAUUCCCAAGGGCCUGCAAUGCAGAGAUCACGCCACAAAUGAUUCUGGACAAUAUCAACUGGCCAAGGGACGAGGACAUCGAUGAGGACAUCGUCAGCCUGGAGGACCAUUGCAGAGUAAUGACCUUCCUCCGGAAAUUUAUAGAGGAUGGUACAUUGCCUUUGUUCUGGAGUAAGACUCGCUCUAUGUAGUGUUUGAGUGUCAGUGUGUGCGUAUCGAAUUUGUUUCCUGUGUGUAUUUUUGUAAGGGACUCCGGAAGUCCUGAAGACUUUGCUCACAUUCUGGACUGGUUGGGGUGUUGUUUCCUCAAACUUGGAGGUGGAAAUCAUCAAUUGUGCCCUACCACAGUCAUCAACUUGUUUUUUGACUCUGAAGCUGUCAAAGAAUACAACAAACUAUGAAAACUUUUUUCAUGACCUGAUGGCAAGCAUAUCCUCCUCCAUCAUUCUCUUCAUUUAGUUGUAUGGCGUCACAAUAUUCAUAGGUUAAGACAGAAACUUGUUAAUCCCAGAACCCCCAACAUUUGAUGUGCAUUGUUUUUGAUUCAGCCGUUGUUAAC
Etheostoma spectabile (orangethroat darter) is the source of this 3874-nucleotide long non-coding RNA. RefSeq lists it as uncharacterized. The record is from RefSeq and is a predicted model, not a curated record. Lineage: Eukaryota; Metazoa; Chordata; Actinopteri; Perciformes; Percidae. The transcript is spliced from 3 exons.